UGAGCCUUGUAUAUACCCUCUGAAACUGUCGUACGCAGAUCGAAGGAGCCAACCGACCGAAAGAAAUGAGCAGCUGGUUGAUGAAGAUGAGGAGGUCGAUGCAGAUGCCCGUGGAAGCGGAGGGGAAGGCGGAGCUGUUUUGCGUCGUCUUCAGCGUCCCGUGCCCGGGAGAUCCACCCGUGCAGGGAGAUUAUGUGGAAGAACGUGUGCACCAAAGCAUCAAGAUCUCUGGUUACGUUCUUGACGCUAAAUAGUUCUACUUACAUAGUACUUCUGCAGAGGAAUGGUACGUAGGUAUGGAUACAUGGCUGGCUAUCUAGAAACUCUUUUGCUGUUGGUGUAAUUUCCUAACAUCACUCUCACCUUAAGCCCGUGCACCCAAACCACGUCUCCAGAAACUUCAAUCUGUUCUUAACCCCAAACACAAAUUGCAACGGCGAGGUGUUUAGUUUCUUAGUAGUUGACUGGGAGAAGUUCUUCAUGGCCGAGAUCAGUUCGAACUCAUGAUCUCAUCCAAUUUCAAUCCCAUUUCUUCCGGUUAUCGACUUUGGCUGUCGGGAUUUUUCUUCGUGAAGAAGAAAAUAUCACGUAUGUAUGGCGCGGCCGUGCGGUGGUGAUCGCGAGCUUCAGAGCUCAGACUCCACUCCAGCGACUUGGUCCCUGUUCGAAGACGCUUCCGCUCCCUUCCGGAUCUACAGUUAAAAAAUAAGAGAGCUCAGGUUUUUCAGUUUCGCAGAUUCUAGGAGCUGAUGGAUUACCAAACAGGGCCUUAGUCAACGGCAAGCCACUAGAACGGUGAGGCUGUCACGAUGUUGGUGAGGUGAGAUCGUGUGGAGAUCCGUGCGUAUCCAGUUCAACCCUCCUUUUUCAUCCGGGGCAACUCUCCUUGUAUACGGUCACAAAAGUCAAAAUAAACUCUUGUUAAAGACAGCUUUUUUUCUAAAAAGAGGAUUACCUCCGGCCUGUGCAUCAAUACGAUGCAUGCGAUCCCUUUACAGACAGCUUAUGGCAAGAGCUCUUUUUUUAGUGUUUCAUGCCAAGAGUUUUUUUUUGAGUGUUUUAUGCUAAGAGUUUGAUGAUGAUGAUGAUGAUGAUGUGUGUGUGUGUUAGGAAAGAAACACUUUUAUUUUCACACAAAAUAUUAUUACUUUCUUUCUAAAUUACUUGUUUUACAUUUGUCUAGAUACAGAUGUAUCUAACACUAAAACGUGUCUAGAUACAUCUGAAUCUAGAAAAAUCUAAUGCAAGUAAGUCAGGACGAAGGGAAUACUUAGAAUGAUCAUAGGUCUGGCAUACCAACUUUCUAUAACUUAGCAAAAAAGAACUGGCUGAGUUUACAAAAUUAAUGUAAACUCCAUGUACACAAUCUUCCUUUCUCUUCUAGGAGGAAGGCUUCCUUCCUCAAUCUCUGCCGGUGAACCCGCGGAUUUGCCUCUCCUUUGCUCGUCGCUCCGGCGGUCGGUGGCGGAGAGAAGAAUGAGAAUCCUAGUGUCUCAGUUUCGGCUAGUCGAUAUUAUAGGGUUUUCUCACAAGGAUGUUGUUUUUAUCUUUAAGUCGGUCUUUCGUGCUCUAAUCCUCCUUGAGUGCGUCCGUUGGGGCGGAGUAGAUGCACCUCUGACUUAAAUUCUUGCCAGCACCUUCGGGCGAUGAAGUUAGGAUUUCUGAUCCUACACACAACAAUGAGAUUUGGUGCCUGGUUCUUCAGGCCGAUUCAAGGGUUCAACAAUGAUGACUACGCCCCGUGCGCUGUUUUUUAUGGAUACGUGCACAAAGACUUUUGGUUGUCAUUAGCAAGGUCAAGCUGACUCCAAUACGAGAGCAGGGAUAGUGACUUAUUUUGCCGACGAUAGUGGUUGUUAUGUGGUCUAGAGACCUCGACGUAAAUUUUAUUAUAUUUAGGAUGUUUUGUACUUAUGAUGAACCUUUAUAGAUAUCCACUGAAGACUUACCCACAUAAAUUUUACAAAAUAAUACGAUGAGUUGCAACCUGCAUGAAAAAUGAGGAAAUCGGAAUCCUAACCUGUAUCACUAUCAUUUUCUUAUUUUUACCCAUGUCACAAAUAAUCAUAUUAUUUCACAAACACUUGCUUGAGCAAAUUUCAUGUUUCUUUUUUACGAAACAUUAUUUUUACUCGAGGGCAAUGGUAGGCCCACUGGAAAUCACAUUACGCAUGACUGUAUUUUCAUGGAAUAUGCCUUCAUAUAUUAAUGCAUGGUGCAUAUAAUGAGUAAUAUCAGUAUAAACUUACCUUUCUUAUCCUGGCUUGUAUUCGGUUGACCAUGAUCCUUGAUUGCAGUGAUAGAAGGGAUCUAAUGUAAUUAAUUUCUCGUUGAUCGUACCAUGCGGUAGGUGUAGUCCGCUGUAUGAAGUUGAUGAGUAUUUGAAUGAUAUAGAUUGUCCUGUUAAGAAAAUGUAUCAUUAAUCAUGCUCAUCUUUGUUUUUUGCAAGUGGACUCCAAUCCCUUGGCCCUCCUCUUUCUCCUUGACUUGUUCAUAUAGGAUGUGUGAUAGACGCCAACAAAGUCUUGUUAAAUUAAUUUGAUUGUUGGAAGAUAAGCAAUGGCAUUGACACAUUGUACACAAUCCUAGCGGUAACAACUGAAGAGAGAACAUCGAUCAAGCGUACAAUCUCUUUACACUUGUUUGCGACUAAUAGUAUCCUCACUGCACCAUUCCUUAUCACUAAUAUCUGCUUGUGUCCUAUUUCUUAUAUCUUCAUAUGAUUAACAACGCAGAAUCUUAUUGCCACUUAUGAAUCCUCACAUCAUAAACCUACUACUUUCUGAUGCAGAGGCCGGGGGUUAUCCUCCUUUUCGAAAGAAAAAAAACAUCAUAAACCUACUACUUUCAUGCAUUUAAUUUUUCCAAGCUACUACUAUCAUGAGCUCAUCCAAAACCAUUCCAGAAAUAUUGGAUGGGGAAAUGUGGAUACAAAUGUUUAUUUAUAUGACUAGUCUUCCUAUUGCUAGUGAUAUAUCAACACUAUAUCAUGCAUCAGGCUCAUAUUCAUGAACAAAAUCACGAGACUGAGAUAAAUUAAGUCGAUGCUCUUUGGCCAAAGAGCCAAUUUGCGAAAUUAUGCUAUGAUGAUUUUUUCUUGUGAGUUUAGUGUCAUGUUUGAAAAAAUCAGUUACUAUUUAAAAAGCUACCAAUGUACAUCGUACCACACAGUAAAAACAUUUUUCUAGUAGCAAUAAUGAGAUUAUAAAGCCAUCUUCUAUUGAUCGAUUAUUUUAAGACCAUAUUCUGAAACAGAAAGCAUGUUAAAACAAUUUAACUAAUCAAAUUUAACAUGAUCCACCAAAAGUCAAAUGCAGCUAAGAGCCCUGUUCAAGAAUUCAUCCGAUUAACCAGUUAACUUGCCAAUUAAUCCCCACUCAUAUGGUCACCGAGUACCCGAUAAACCGAAAAAUUGCCCGAUUAAUUGAUUAAAUGGCCGAUAACUUGUCGAUUAGCCCAUUAUUCCCCUACUCGCCAACCAACCGAGCAGUUACCAUUUAACAAUUUCCUCAACAAUGGCUAAGAGUAUGAGUUGGUCACUUAAUUCUCAUUAGUGUCCAGAGAGAAAUAUAUUGCAGAAGACAUUAAUUAUUUAUUUUCCCAAUUAUUUUGUAUACAACUAAAUAUCCUUUCAACACUUAUUUUCAUGUUUGCCUCAUAAAGAAUCUGAACAUUGCUCUUACUAUGACUGAUAUGUCAAUGAGUUCUGACUAUUUGUUUGUGUAUAUCCUCACCGAUAUCAAUUGUAUUGUACCUAUGGUUAUGAGCUGUGGGAAUGUCUUACUAAUGCUUCAGGAUCCAUUAUCCUUAUUUUGUCUAUCUUAACUUUUUGUGUUGUCUAAGUUUUGUCUAUCUUUUUUUUUCCUAAACAUCUCUCCAAGCGCCUACGUACCUUACAUAUCCCAAAUUUUCUUAAAUGGGGGAUGAUUGUUGUCACUUGAGAACAAAUAAAAGGUACAAAGCGGAAUUUAUUUGUCAAUCUUAGAUGCCAAGAUAAGUUACUACACAUUAUGAAAGUGAUUCUGUUCUGGCCUUUAGGGGCUUCCAUUCUAAAAAUAAAAGCAAGGCAGCAAGAGUAUAUAUAAGUUUCCUAUGGAGACGAGUCAUCUAGAUUACUUCAGUUACUGAACUGUGCUCUACCAUGAAUCUGACAUGUAGGUAAAGGAUGAUAUUUGAUCGCCAUUAUAAUAUAGAAGAUUCACUUCCAAGAAUAAUGGGCUCACAUUAAUGACUUCUUGUUGUGCAGCUUGUAUUGCCCUAAAGGAUUUUGAUAAACUCAAAAUGAUGUAUGAAGUGGACUGGAAGGAGAAGCACAGGAUCAUUUUUCGGCACAAAAAGAAAAAUGUCUACGCAUUGCUGUACUCGGGAGACUUACCCGGUGCCGCAAAAAAUGCGAUGAAGAAUGGUUUUGAAACGAAGAUAUCUAAACUAGUCGAUAUCAACUACCACAGCUUUUCUGGUAAAAGCGAUGUGGAGAUUUUGACAAUCAGAGGAGCUAGGCCGGACGGCCGUGGUCUGUCCUGCGACUUCGUCGAUGUACACCAUGCAGAAUCAAUCCUCAGCAGUUACAAGACGUCUCAUGGUGCCGGAGGAAAUGCUGCUAGGGUUGAACCAAGUCCCAGAUGAAAUCUACUAGUCGGGAGCAUUUUUCAUCUUAGGUUCUGUGACUUGGUUCCCGUGGAGCAUGUGCCCGGAACGCAGUUCCCGUGGUGUCCACGGCUUGUGUGCAUUUUUUUAAGAGAGAGAGAGAGAGAGAGAGAGAGAGAGAGAGAGAGAGAGAGAG
Hordeum vulgare subsp. vulgare (domesticated barley) is the source of this 4783-nucleotide RNA transcript. RefSeq lists it as uncharacterized. The record is from RefSeq and is a predicted model, not a curated record. Lineage: Eukaryota; Viridiplantae; Streptophyta; Magnoliopsida; Poales; Poaceae. The transcript is spliced from 4 exons.